RNAcentral lists this ribosomal RNA (600 nucleotides) under Pelagibacterium sp. India-BSP-23. RNAcentral describes it as "bacterial SSU rRNA". It matches the Rfam family "Bacterial small subunit ribosomal RNA", at positions 94 to 729 of the family's 1533-position model. Lineage: Bacteria; Pseudomonadati; Pseudomonadota; Alphaproteobacteria; Hyphomicrobiales; Devosiaceae. The record is from RNAcentral.
AGUGGCAGACGGGUGAGUAACGCGUGGGAAUCUACCCAGUUCUCUGGAAUAACUGAUGGAAACGUCAGCUAAUACCGGAUACGCCCUUUUGGGGAAAGAUUUAUCGGGAUUGGAUGAGCCCGCGUAAGAUUAGCUAGUUGGUGGGGUAAUGGCCUACCAAGGCGACGAUCUUUAGCUGGUCUGAGAGGAUGAUCAGCCACACUGGGACUGAGACACGGCCCAGACUCCUACGGGAGGCAGCAGUGGGGAAUAUUGGACAAUGGGGGCAACCCUGAUCCAGCCAUGCCGCGUGAGUGAUGAAGGCCUUAGGGUUGUAAAGCUCUUUCACCGGUGAAGAUAAUGACGGUAACCGGAGAAGAAGCCCCGGCUAACUUCGUGCCAGCAGCCGCGGUAAUACGAAGGGGGCUAGCGUUGUUCGGAAUUACUGGGCGUAAAGCGCACGUAGGCGGAUAUUUAAGUCAGGGGUGAAAUCCCGGAGCUCAACUCCGGAACUGCCUUUGAUACUGGAUAUCUAGAGACCGAGAGAGGUAAGUGGAACUCCUAGUGUAGAGGUGGAAUUCGUAGAUAUUAGGAAGAACACCAGUGGCGAAGGCGGCUUAC